This 253-nucleotide ribosomal RNA is filed under the name uncultured bacterium. RNAcentral describes it as "partial 16S ribosomal RNA". It matches the Rfam family "Bacterial small subunit ribosomal RNA", at positions 524 to 776 of the family's 1533-position model. The record is from RNAcentral.
UACAGAGGGGGCAAGCGUUGUUCGGAAUUACUGGGCGUAAAGGGCGCGUAGGCGGCCUUCUAAGUCGAACGUGAAAUCCCCGGGCUCAACCCGGGAACUGCGUCCGAUACUGGAAGGCUUGAAUCCGGGAGAGGGAUGCGGAAUUCCAGGUGUAGCGGUGAAAUGCGUAGAUAUCUGGAGGAACACCGGUGGCGAAGGCGGCAUCCUGGACCGGCAUUGACGCUGAGGCGCGAAAGCAUGGGGAGCGAACAGG